Molecule: ribosomal RNA, 448 nt
Filed under: uncultured bacterium
Lineage: Bacteria
Description: partial 16S ribosomal RNA
Rfam family: Bacterial small subunit ribosomal RNA
Source: RNAcentral
GGCCAGACUCCUACGGGAGGCAGCAGUGGGGGAUAUUACACAAUGGGGGGAACCCUGAUGCAGCGACGCCGCGUGGGUGAAGAAGCGCCUCGGCGCGUAAAGCCCUGUCAGCAGGGAAGAAAAUGACGGUACCUGAAGAAGAAGCCCCGGCUAACUACGUGCCAGCAGCCGCGGUAAUACGUAGGGGGCAAGCGUUAUCCGGAUUUACUGGGUGUAAAGGGGGCGCAGACGGCGAUGCAAGCCAGGAGUGAAAGCCCGGGGCCCAACCCCGGGACUGCUCUUGGAACUGCGUGGCUGGAGUGCAGGAGGGGCAGGCGGAAUUCCUGGUGUAGCGGUGAAAUGCGUAGAUAUCAGGAGGAACACCGGUGGCGAAGGCGGCCUGCUGGACUGCAACUGACGUUGAGGCCCGAAAGCGUGGGGAGCAAACAGGAUUAGAUACCCGGGUACA